RNAcentral lists this long non-coding RNA (226 nucleotides) under Limulus polyphemus (Atlantic horseshoe crab). RNAcentral's name for it is "uncharacterized LOC111083976, transcript variant X2". The record is from RNAcentral. Lineage: Eukaryota; Metazoa; Arthropoda; Merostomata; Xiphosura; Limulidae.
AGUUCAGUUAUUUGAGAUGAAUUUCUGUGGACACGAGGAUGAAACGACAAGACCAAGAAUCGUUAUAAAGCUAUAUAUUUGGAGAAUGCGAUUAAAUAAUCCUGCUCACAAGUUCAAGAUGUCAAACUUUGACUUCUAACAAUAUAAUACAAUCAUUGCAACAUACAGUCAACAGCCAAACUAUGGAAAGUUCAUUGUAACUGUUUUAAUAAAAAGUGAAGUCCAA